Molecule: long non-coding RNA, 1197 nt
Organism: Alligator mississippiensis (American alligator)
Lineage: Eukaryota; Metazoa; Chordata; Crocodylia; Alligatoridae
Exons: 2
Source: RefSeq, a predicted model, not a curated record
UGGGCUAAUCGCAGCCUUGAAGAGAAGCCGCUCGGCCGGGAUGUGCCGCACCGCCUCAUUGGUGCGAAGAGGGAACCCCCACCAAUAGGGACCGGAAGAAGGCGGAGCCGGAACAAGAUCACAGACCAUUGGCUGCUUCUAGCGGCCUUCUGCCCAAUGGCGAUGCAAAGGCUCAAGGGGGCUCUAUAAAAGUCGCUGCAGGCGCCAAAGCCCGUUCUUUCAGCACUGAAGGCGUGAGCAGCCCGGGCACCAGAGCCAGCACAACACCGGCGAGCGGAGCGGCCCCCGGGCAUGCCGGCGGGCAUCAGAUGCACUGAGACAGCAGCUUGGCUCGGCGUGCGGACCUUAAGGCUCCUGCCUUGGACGUGACAUCCUCUGUUCCCCCGUCAUCGCGCUCGUCUGUUCUCGCGUGGAUGUGACAGGGUUAGAUGUGAAGUGAUGGUGGGGGGGGGGAUAUUUUUAUGUCUUAUGUGAAAUACUACUAUAUCAGCUCCUGGAAUAGGGUGUACGAGCCUGGCUAGAUCAGCGGUGGCUGAGCCCAAGGCAGCCCAUGCGCAUGGGGAGGGCAGGGAGCAGAAAGCAGAGCAGCAGUGCUUGGAGGGGGUAGGGCUGAUUUUAAGGCAUGCUUGCUGCUGCACUACAUUAGUGGCUUUCAACCCAUGGGUUAUAACCCUAAAGUGGGUCACGAAUAUAUGAAAGGGUCAUGAACAAAUGUUAAAAACGGAUUCUCUUUUAAAGGAGAAAAAGGUGGGAAGCGUUGGCUCUUCCCUUGCAGGCUGGCAGAGCUGCUGCUUGGAAGGGGGGCUUGCCCCACAUGCCGGGUGUCUGGUUUGGGGGGCGAGGAGUGAGGGGCACUAAGUCGGGACCCAUCAUGGGUGUUUACACACGGGUCCUGGGGCAACAAAGGGUGAGAACUGCUGCGCUAGAUCAUAGCAUUAAAACUGCAGAGGGAAUAAAUAGCCUUUUAGUGGCAAAGAGCCUCCCUGAGCUUGCAGUAAAGCAGUUCAUGGUGCUGUUACGUGACUAAACCUUGUGAGUUGCAUAGUCUUGCCCCAGCUUAACACUGAACUGACUUUGCAUAUCUAAAGUGUGCAUCCAGCCAUGAUGAAAUUGGUAGAAUCCAGGUUUUUCUUUUACCUCUGUAUCAUACUGUGCACAGAUGUGAAUUAAAAGUGAGAAUAAACAUUGCUGCCUCUA